GACGGGGUUUCACCAUGUUGGCUGAGCUGAUCUUGAACUCCUGACCUCAAAUGGUCCACCUGCCUCGGCCUCUUAAAGUGCUGGGAUUACAGACAUGAGCCACCACGCCUGGCUACAUUAUCUCAUUUAAACCCUAGUACUACUCCCAUGAAAUAGGUACUACUAUUUCCUCUAUGUUCAAGAUGCAACACUAGGCUUAGAUAAGAUUUAUGAGUAACUUGCCUAAAGUCAUUGCUAAGUGGUGGAACCAGGGUUCUAACUCAAGUCUGUAUGGUUCCAACACCUGCACUCAACCAAGACAGCAGCCUGAUUUUACUAUUACACAGAAAACUGACUGCCUAACAUUUUCCAGUUAUGGUUAUAUUAAUCCCUUCAUAUUGUUUUUAUUUUUCUUUAUCCAGCUCGAGUCAAGAAGCCAAACAUUUGUGGCUUCUUAGAUAGUUUUCCCAGCUUCAGUGUGAAGUUUGUGACAAUGAAAGUAAAUGAUGUCAAAUGACCUUAUUUACACUGAUAAUUCAACUCAAUAAGUGUUUACUGAGGCCUCCCAUGUGCAAAGCAGAGUGGCAGGUAUCUGGAACCACUGUACCAAUCACGUGGUGACACCCAAAUGUGGAGCUAUGAAGAACUGCAGCCCAACCCUCAAAAAUAACACCAAGCAAAUUCUCUCUUAAUUCUAAUUCUUAUGUUGAGUCAAAGACAGUUGACAAUGAGAAAAAAACAGCCUUAUGUUCGUGGUGGUGGUGGCUGAGCAUAUGAUGAUGGAGAGAAGGGGGUAGAAAUCCAGAAACAUUAGCCCUAGGGAUACCUUUUUUCUUUCUUAACCUGGAAAAUUUCUCAAUUAGAUUUCCAGCUCAAUUUAAACUUGCCAAUAUAGAACAGCCCUUUCAACAACUUCUAAUCCCAAUAUGUUCCUAGGAGCAUUCCCUCUUCUAAGGAUUGCUAUAAUGACUUUAAGGAUGGUAGUGUUCUAUGGAAAAAAGAAAAGCUCUGGGCAACCCUCCCACUAUAAUGACAAAAUCUACUUACUAGUUAUAAAUUCUGUAUUGUAUACUCAUUGCUUUCCAACAUAAUACAAAAGUGAAGGAAGAUGAAGUCUUUCUGGAUUUGAGCUUUCUCUGAUUAGAAAAGCCUUAUAUGGCUUGUCUCUAACUAUGAUGAUUCACUUAUAGGAUAAAAGUUGGUCAAGUAUAUUCAUCUUACUCUUUAACCUUUCCUGUGUGUCCCUGAACAUCUAAGAUCAUAGAAUUUCCUCUUUAGUCAGCCUUCAUUCAGCCAGUAUUUUUCCAGUGCCUACUAUGUACAAGUUCUGUGCCAAGUUCUGAGAAUUCAAGAAACUAGCCUGAUAGGGUGUUCUCCCACAUCUUAGAAUCUGGUAUAGAACAUGACUGAAUAAUACCAGUCAGACUCUAAUUUAUUACUAUGGGAACAACAUUCUAAGUGUUUGUCAUAACCGCUUUCCUCUUAUAAGCAAGACCAUCCUUUACAUCCAUGGCCCUGCUAGUUGGCCACAGACAACCAGACCAUGGCUAGGUCCCUGAUCUCAAGGCAACAACAGAAGCCCAGUCAUUUCACUAUGAGCUGGGGCUCCACAUUGGAGAGUGGCCUAUCUAAUCACAGUUUUUCUCUUUGGGCGUUUGAAUGAGAUAGAUGCAAUCCCCACACAGUGUGAUGGCAUGAAAAAGAAACAGUAUACAAAGAGAGAAUCACCUUUGAUGAAACAUACUCUGGCAUAAGAUGAGCCAGCAUGUGGCACCUGGCAUUUCAUUAAACAAUUGCACUGACUUAGAGGAUGCCCAGGAACCCAGACCACUACAUACACCAAAUCUCUUUUCUGAAAAUCCAUGGAGAAAUUUUUCCAGAAUACCCACUUGGAAAAGAGAAGAAGUACAUACCCCUUCAUCUUAGGUCAUGUCUUUUUCUGAGGUCCUAUUUCAGUAGUACAGAUGCCUCUGAGCUGAAGAGAGGUAAAGAAAAGAACAUGCUGUCUCGCACACAAAAUCUUUGAUUGACCACCAGCCACUUCCCAGUAUCUGGAGAAAUUCUGGCCUCACGAACUGUCCGCAAAAUAAGGAAACAGGUACAAUGGCUACUUGACUAGUGUUCUUUACGCAUGGGCCAGGUGGAGACGGAGUGAGGCGCGGGAGAACCCAGGACCUUGGUGCCUGGCCCACCUUCCCUCCAUUACACUUAGGCCCGCUCUGCAGAUAAGAGCUCACAUUGGUUGUGGAUGAAGCCGAAUCUAAAAGGCCUGGAAAUACCAUGCUGCAUUCGUUCUCAUUCUUCCAUCUAGACCUGCAGCCCCUUUUCUGUCUCUACAGCCUACCCGGGUUUACCUGGGACUAGAGUUUCACCUUCAUUCCAUCAGAAAUUAAAUUUCUCAUAUGCCCUUAGGAAAAACUCUGUUGAAAAGCAGUCCCCAGAAACAGGUAUCUGAAGUGAACAGAGCCCCAGAGGCUGCUUACAACCCCAGAUAGGGGGAGGAGGAGAAUCACUAGCAAAACGGCAUUUCAGCAAACAACCACCAAGUGUGAAAAUCCAAAAAUUGUACAAAGCGAGAGCACUUUUUUCUGAGAGACAGAAUGUUUUUCUAAAAGUCUGUAUAAACUCUUGAGAAGUUAAAUCUAACUGGAUGCCAAGAAUUAACAACAACAAAAAAGACAUUUUCUUAAGUUUCCAAAGACCACAGUCUCUCUCUGAGCCCAAGUGACUAAUGCCUGUAACAGCCGAACAUUACAAAAUGCUGACCAGCAGAAAGUCUGUUUGGGAAUGACAAGGUCCACGUGUGCAUUCCAGGGACGCUUACAGAUUCUGCAGUACUCCAAGGAAGACAGGGUGGGUGGGAAGCAAUGUGACAAACAGGCAAGAAGUAUUUAUAAAGGCACGACCCGAUUAGAAACAGAUGUUGCAGCUGCUCUCUCGCACUGGCCCACAUCAGAGAUGAUGAGAAGCCCUUCACCCAGCAGCCACCUAGGAACACUAAUGAGCAAAGCAAGUGGGGAAGUGGGGAAGAGGUCACAAACCAUUUCAAAACCCUCUCGCUGUCCAAUGGGUCCCAAACAACCCAGUUCCAUUUAAGACAUAUCAUGUCUCUUGCAGAGCAUAAAACCACCCACUUGUCUCACUGUUGUUUAUUUGGGUCAUUUUUGUCCCUCCUGCCCUGUCUUUAUCCUAUGGAAUAUCUUCAAAACAGUGAUGAAUAGGAGGUCAAAGAGAAUUAAGAGGCUCAAAGCAGUUGGAAGUUUUUUUCUCAACUUUUUAUGUCCUGUGCUACUCAUAUUCACACAUCUAUUCCUCAGUAUUUCCUGUUUGAGAAAUAUUGUGGCUCAGUUCAUCUAUUUCUAUUCACUGAAUGCAUUCAUCAGCAAAUAAUGAAAUAUGGAUGGGACGCUUCCUGCCCGAUGCCACCAUUUCUAUCACCGGAUAUAAAUUAGCCACUUCCUUUCUGAAAGAUACCAUAUAUUUCUGUGCCUUUCUGAAAAGGCAGGGGAUUUUCAGUUACAGUAAUGGCCAUGUGAUGGCAGUCUCUGUGAGAGAAGAAAAAAAAAAAAAUCCAAUCCAGUUCCAAGCAAGUCAUGAACAAAAGCACCAGGGCUGUUUCCCCCAGUCACAACCUGGCUGCUUUCUCCUCCCAAAGCAUGUUCAGUUCCUAAUCCAGGCUGACCUAGAACAUCUGAGUCCAGUGACACAUUUCCAGCACCCGAAAAUUGAGGAAUUAUACCAGAAAUGACCAAAACCAUGAUACAUAUUGAGGAAAUAAACAUACCAAUCAACAUCUGGUCUUUCUCUACAAAUAUUACUAAACAAUUAUGGCCAAAAUCCUC
This is a long non-coding RNA of Pongo pygmaeus (Bornean orangutan), 3821 nucleotides long. RefSeq lists it as uncharacterized. NCBI's taxonomy places the organism in Eukaryota, Metazoa, Chordata, Mammalia, Primates, Hominidae. The record is from RefSeq and is a predicted model, not a curated record. The transcript has 4 exons.